GAUGAACGCUGGCGGCGUGCCUAAUACGUGCAAGUCGAGCGAACAGACGAGGAGCUUGCUCCUCUGACGUUAGCGGCGGACGGGUGAGUAACACGUGGAUAACCUACCUAUAAGACUGGGAUAACUUCGGGAAACCGGAGCUAAUACCGGAUAAUAUAUUGAACCGCAUGGUUCAAUAGUGAAAGACGGUUUUGCUGUCACUUAUAGAUGGAUCCGCGCCGCAUUAGCUAGUUGGUAAGGUAACGGCUUACCAAGGCGACGAUGCGUAGCCGACCUGAGAGGGUGAUCGGCCACACUGGAACUGAGACACGGUCCAGACUCCUACGGGAGGCAGCAGUAGGGAAUCUUCCGCAAUGGGCGAAAGCCUGACGGAGCAACGCCGCGUGAGUGAUGAAGGUCUUCGGAUCGUAAAACUCUGUUAUUAGGGAAGAACAAAUGUGUAAGUAACUAUGCACGUCUUGACGGUACCGAAUCAGAAAGCCACGGCUAACUACGU
Molecule: ribosomal RNA, 496 nt
Filed under: uncultured bacterium
Lineage: Bacteria
Description: partial 16S ribosomal RNA
Rfam family: Bacterial small subunit ribosomal RNA
Source: RNAcentral